RNAcentral lists this ribosomal RNA (414 nucleotides) under Alcaligenes sp. EB53. RNAcentral's name for it is "bacterial SSU rRNA". It matches the Rfam family "Bacterial small subunit ribosomal RNA", at positions 78 to 489 of the family's 1533-position model. The record is from RNAcentral. Lineage: Bacteria; Pseudomonadati; Pseudomonadota; Betaproteobacteria; Burkholderiales; Alcaligenaceae.
GCUCUCUUGGCGGCGAGUGGCGGACGGGUGAGUAAUAUAUCGGAACGUGCCCAGUAGCGGGGGAUAACUACUCGAAAGAGUGGCUAAUACCGCAUACGCCCUACGGGGGAAAGGGGGGGAUCGCAAGACCUCUCACUAUUGGAGCGGCCGAUAUCGGAUUAGCUAGUUGGUGGGGUAAAGGCUCACCAAGGCAACGAUCCGUAGCUGGUUUGAGAGGACGACCAGCCACACUGGGACUGAGACACGGCCCAAACUCCUACGGGAGGCAGCAGUGGGGAAUUUUGGACAAUGGGGGAAACCCUGAUCCAGCCAUCCCGCGUGUAUGAUGAAGGCCUUCGGGUUGUAAAGUACUUUUGGCAGAGAAGAAAAGGUAUCCCCUAAUACGGGAUACUGCUGACGGUAUCUGCAGAAUAA